GGCUCUUUUCGCUGUUGCUGCCUUCCCGGGGGCGGUCGCUUCGCUGCCAGAGACGCUUUCUUUUUUUUCCGGGUUCUGAGCCGUUCCGGAUGCUUUAGGUUGCCGGAUGUCUGAUCUUCGGAUAACUGAGGCGUUACUGUACAUGGAUUAUCUGGUGACUAGACUAUAUCCAGCUGAAAACCAUCAACCAUUUUAGACUACGUG
RNAcentral lists this long non-coding RNA (204 nucleotides) under Vombatus ursinus (common wombat). RNAcentral's name for it is "lncRNA (ENSVURG00010021275.1)". The record is from RNAcentral. Lineage: Eukaryota; Metazoa; Chordata; Mammalia; Diprotodontia; Vombatidae.